GAAAUGCGAUAAGUAAUGUGAAUUGCAGAAUUCAGUGAAUCAUCGAAUCUUUGAACGCACCUUGCGCUCCUUGGUAUUCCUUGGAGCAUGCCUGUUUGAGUAUCAUGAAAUCUUCAAAGUAAAUCUUUUGUUAACUCAAUUGGUUUCUACUUUGGUAUUGGAGGUCUUUGCAGCUUCACACCUGCUCCUCUUUGUUCAUUAGCUGGAUCUCAGUGUUAUGCUUGGUUCCACUCGGCGUGAUAAGUUAUCUAUCGCUGAGGACACUGUAAAAGGUGGCCAAGGUAAAUGCAGAUGAACCGCUUCUAAUAGUCCAUUGACUUGGACAAUACUUUUAUGAUCUGAUCUCAAAUCAGGUAGGACUAGCCGCUGAACUUAAGC
Molecule: unclassified non-coding RNA, 378 nt
Filed under: plant metagenome
Description: partial contains 5.8S ribosomal RNA, internal transcribed spacer 2, and large subunit ribosomal RNA
Rfam family: 5.8S ribosomal RNA (bases 1-105)
Source: RNAcentral